AGUGAACGCUGGCGGCAGGCCUAACACAUGCAAGUCGAGCGGCAGCGGGUCCUUCGGGAUGCCGGCGAGCGGCGGACGGGUGAGGAUAGCGUCGGAAUCUGCCUUUUUGUGGGGGAUAACGUAGGGAAACUUACGCUAAUACCGCAUACGACCUACGGGUGAAAGUGGGGGACCGCAAGGCCUCACGCAGAAAGAUGAGCCGACGUCGGAUUAGCUAGUUGGUGGGGUAAAGGCCCACCAAGGCGACGAUCCGUAGCUGGUCUGAGAGGAUGAUCAGCCACACUGGAACUGAGACACGGUCCAGACUCCUACGGGAGGCAGCAGUGGGGAAUAUUGGACAAUGGGCGCAAGCCUGAUCCAGCCAUGCCGCGUGUGUGAAGAAGGCCUUCGGGUUGUAAACCGCUUUUGUGCAGGAGGAGCAAGGACCGUACUGCACGAACAAGUCACGGCUAACUACGUG
Molecule: ribosomal RNA, 460 nt
Filed under: uncultured Gammaproteobacteria bacterium
Lineage: Bacteria; Pseudomonadati; Pseudomonadota; Gammaproteobacteria
Description: bacterial SSU rRNA
Rfam family: Bacterial small subunit ribosomal RNA
Source: RNAcentral